Molecule: ribosomal RNA, 230 nt
Filed under: uncultured Pseudomonas sp.
Lineage: Bacteria; Pseudomonadati; Pseudomonadota; Gammaproteobacteria; Pseudomonadales; Pseudomonadaceae
Description: partial 16S ribosomal RNA
Rfam family: Bacterial small subunit ribosomal RNA
Source: RNAcentral
AAGGAUGAGUGGAGCUUGCUCCCCUGAUUCAGUAGCGGACGGGUGAGUAAUGCCUAGGAAUCUGCCUGGUAGUGGGCGACAACGUUACGAAAGGAACGCUAAUACCGCAUACGUCCUACGGGAGAAAGCAGGGGACCUUCGGCCCUUGCGCUAUCUCAUGACGCCUAGGUCGGAUUAGCUAGUUGGUGAGGUAAAGGCUCACCAAGGCGACGAUGCGUAACUGGUCUGAG